RNAcentral lists this ribosomal RNA (503 nucleotides) under uncultured bacterium. Its description in RNAcentral is "partial 16S ribosomal RNA". It matches the Rfam family "Bacterial small subunit ribosomal RNA", at positions 899 to 1397 of the family's 1533-position model. The record is from RNAcentral.
ACUCAAAGGAAUUGACGGGGGUCCGCACAAGCGGUGGAACAUGUGGUUUAAUUCGACACUACGCGAGGAACCUUACCUAGGCUUGACAUAUUUUUGACAACCGUAGAAAUACGGCUUUCUAAACGUAAGUUUAGACAAUUUUACAGGUGCUGCAUGGCUGUCGUCAGCUCGUGUCGUGAGAUGUUGGGUUAAGUCCUUUAACGAGCGCAACUCCUACCGUUAGUUGCAAUUCCGUAAGGAAGCACUCUAUCGGGACUGCCUGGGAAACCAGGAGGAAGGUGGGAAUGAUGUCAAGUCCGCAUGGCCCUUAUGCCUAGGGCAACACACGUGUUACAAUGGUUGGUACAAAGGGCUGCAAGCUCGUAAGAGUAAGCUAAUCCCCUAAAAUCAAUCUAAGUUCGGAUUGAGGUCUGCAACUCGACCUCAUGAAGUUGAAAUCGCUAGUAAUCGCAUAUCAGAACGAUGCGGUGAAUACGUUCUCGGACCUUGUACACACCGCCCGU